UUGUUACAGUAAUUCCACUAUCUCUGUGCC
This 30-nucleotide non-coding RNA is filed under the name Rattus norvegicus (Norway rat). Lineage: Eukaryota; Metazoa; Chordata; Mammalia; Rodentia; Muridae. The record is from RNAcentral.